Molecule: ribosomal RNA, 253 nt
Filed under: uncultured bacterium
Lineage: Bacteria
Description: partial 16S ribosomal RNA
Rfam family: Bacterial small subunit ribosomal RNA
Source: RNAcentral
GACGGAAGGUGCAAGCGUUGCUCGGAAUCACUGGGCGUAAAGGGUGCGUAGGCGGUCGUGCAAGUCUGGCGUGAAAGCCCCGGGCUCAGCCCGGGAAGUGCGCUCGAAACUGCGCGGCUCGAGUGCCGGAGGGGAGAGUGGAAUUCCUGGUGUAGCGGUGAAAUGCGCAGAUAUCAGGAGGAACACCGGUGGCGAAGGCGGUUCUCUGGGCAUGUCCUGACGCUGAGGAGCGAAAGUGUGGGGAGCGAACAGG